CCACGCCGUAAACGAUGAGUGCUAGGUGUAGAGGGUAUCGACCCUUUCUGUGCCGCAGUUAACACAAUAAGCACUCCGCCUGGGGAGUACGGCCCGCAAGGUUGAAACUCAAAGGAAUUGACGGGGGCCCGCACAAGCGGUGGAGCAUGUGGUUUAAUUCGACGCAACGCGAAGAACCUUACCAGGGCUUGACAUCCUACGAACUCUUAGGAAACUAGGAGGUGCCCUUCGGGGAGCGUAGAGACAGGUGGUGCAUGGUUGUCGUCAGCUCGUGUCGUGAGAUGUUGGGUUAAGUCCCGCAACGAGCGCAACCCCUGUAUUUAGUUGCUAACGAGUAAGGUCGAGCACUCUAGAUAGACUGCCGGUGAUAAACCGGAGGAAGGUGGGGAUGACGUCAAAUCAUCAUGCCCCUUAUGUCCUGGGCUACACACGUGCUACAAUGGCCGGUACAGACGGAAGCGAAGCCGCGAGGUGGAGCCAAUCCGAGAAAGCCGGUCUCAGUUCGGAUUGCAGGCUGCAACUCGCCUGCAUGAAGUCGGAAUCGCUAGUAAUCGCAGGUCAGCACACUGCGGUGAAUACGUUCCCGGGCCUUGUACACACCGCCCGUCACACCACGAAAGUCUGCAACACCCGAAGCCGGUGAGGUAACCCGCAAGGGAGCUAGCCGUCGAAGGUGGGGCCGAUAAUUGGGGUGAAGUCGUAACAAGGUAACCGUA
RNAcentral lists this ribosomal RNA (716 nucleotides) under uncultured bacterium. RNAcentral's name for it is "bacterial SSU rRNA". It matches the Rfam family "Bacterial small subunit ribosomal RNA", at positions 795 to 1504 of the family's 1533-position model. The record is from RNAcentral.